RNAcentral lists this ribosomal RNA (457 nucleotides) under uncultured Burkholderiales bacterium. RNAcentral's name for it is "bacterial SSU rRNA". It matches the Rfam family "Bacterial small subunit ribosomal RNA", at positions 342 to 791 of the family's 1533-position model. The record is from RNAcentral. Lineage: Bacteria; Pseudomonadati; Pseudomonadota; Betaproteobacteria; Burkholderiales.
CGGGUGGCAGCAGUGGGGAAUUUUGGACAAUGGGGGCAACCCUGAUCCAGCAAUGCCGCGUGAGUGAAGAAGGCCUUCGGGUUGUAAAGCUCUUUUGUUAGGGAAGAAAAGGCAGCUAAUAAUACUAGCUGCUGAUGACGGUACCUAAAGAAUAAGCACCGGCUAACUACGUGCCAGCAGCCGCGGUAAUACGUAGGGUGCAAGCGUUAAUCGGAAUUACUGGGCGUAAAGCGUGCGCAGGCGGUCUCGUAAGUCAGAUGUGAAAUCCCCGAGCUCAACUUGGGAACUGCAUCCGAAACUGCGAGACUAGAGUGUGUCAGAGGGAGGUAGAAUUCCACGUGUAGCAGUGAAAUGCGUAGAUAUGUGGAGGAAUACCAGUGGCGAAGGCGGCCUCCUGGGAUAACACUGACGCUCAUGUACGAAAGCGUGGGGAGCAAACAGGAUUAGAUACCCGAGU